Molecule: ribosomal RNA, 301 nt
Filed under: uncultured bacterium
Lineage: Bacteria
Description: partial 16S ribosomal RNA
Rfam family: Bacterial small subunit ribosomal RNA
Source: RNAcentral
CAGCAGCCACGGUAAUACGGAGGGUGCAAGCGUUAAUCGGAAUUACUGGGCGUAAAGCGCACGCAGGCGGUCUGUCAAGUCAGAUGUGAAAUCCCCGGGCUUAACCUGGGAACUGCAUUUGAAACUGGCAGGCUAGAGUCUUGUAGAGGGGGGUAGGAUUCCAGGUGUAGCGGUGAAAUGCGUAGAGAUCUGGAGGAAUACCGGUGGCGAAGGCGGCCCCCUGGACAAAGACUGACGCUCAGGUGCGAAAGCGUGGGGAGCAAACAGGAUUAGAUACCCCGGUAGUCCCUGUCUCUUAUAC